This 2250-nucleotide long non-coding RNA is filed under the name Triticum aestivum (bread wheat). RNAcentral's name for it is "long non-coding RNA (TAES_LNC016261)". The record is from RNAcentral. Lineage: Eukaryota; Viridiplantae; Streptophyta; Magnoliopsida; Poales; Poaceae.
UUUUGUUUCUUGGAGGACCAAGACACAAGAGAUCUACCAAGAAAUUGACAAGUACCCGAAGUGGACUUUCUAUCAACCUUGUCACCGGCAUAGUCCAAGUCGGAGUAGCCAACAAGAUUGAAGGAGGCCCUCUUUGGAUACCAAAUGCCAAAGUUUGGUGUAUGAAUUAAGUAUCUCACAAUCCUUUUCACGGCCUUAAGAUAACAUUCUUUAGGGGCCGCUUGAUAUCGUGCACACAUUGUCACGCCCAAUAUGCGACCCUAUCCAAAAGGAACUCGAAGGUCCCACCAAGGAUAGACCCGCAUAUUGAAACACUUUUGCAAGGUGGAUAUCAUUACAUCAACAUUACAUAAUACAUGGGGAUACAUAUAAGAGGCAAUCAAUGCCACAUGAAUACAACAUCACAAUACAUAAGAGCAUCAUUCGACUACGGAUGAAACACAAACAGAAACUCAAACGACAUCCACCCUGCUAGCCCAGGCUGCCGACCUGGAACCUAUCCCAUGAUCGAAGAAGCAGAAGAAGAACUCAACGCAAGCAAGCAUCGCUCUCGCGUCAUGAUCAUCGCAUAAACCUGUACCUGCAACUGUUGUUGUAGUAAUUUGUGAGCCACGAGGACUCAGCAAUCCCAUUACCAUGGGUAUCAAGACUAGCAAAGCUUAAAGGAAAGGAAGGGGUGAAGUGGUGAGGUUGCAGCAGCGACUAAGCAUAUAUGGUGGCUAACAUACGCAAAUGAGAGCGAGAAGAGAAACAAAGGAACGGUCGUCAACUAGCAAUGAUCAAGAAGUGAUCCUGAACUCCUACUUACGUCAAACAUAACCCAGAAACCGUGUUCACUUCCCGGACUCCGCCGAGAAGAGACCAUCACGGCUACACACGCGGUUGAUGCGUUUUAAUUCGGAUCUGGUGUCAAGUUAUCUACAACCGGACAUUAACAAAUUCCCAUCUGCCAAUAACCGCAGGCACGGCUUUCAAAAGAUUAUACCCUGCAGGGGUGUCCCAACUUAGCCCAUGACAAGCUCUCGCGAUCAACGAAGGAAUAGACCUUCUCCCAGGAAGACCCGAUCAGACCCGGAAUUCCGGUUUACAAGACAUUUCGACAAUGGUAAAACAAGACCAGCAAGACCGCCCGAUGUGCCGACAAUCCCGAUAGGAGCUGCACAUAUCUCGUUCUCAGGGCAACACCGGAUGAGCAAUCCGUACAACUAAAACCAUACCUCAAGUUUCCCUGAGGGGGCGCUGCAAAGGGCUCUAGUUCGGACCAACACUUAGACAAGCACUGGCCCGGGGGGGGCUGUAAUAAAGAUGACCCUUGGGUUAAUUACUCCCAAGGGAAAAGUAGGUGGUGGUGAGGCAAAUGGUAAAACCAAUGUUGGGCCUUGCUGGAGGAGUUUUAUUCAAAGCGAACUGUCAAGGGGGUCCCAUAAAUCACCCGACCGCGUAAGGAACGCAAAAUCCGGGAACAUAACACCGGUAUGACGGAAACUAGGGCGGCAAGAGUGGAACAAAACACCAGGCAUAAGGCCGAGCCUUCCACCCUUUACCAAGUAUAUAGAUGCAUUAAUAAUAUAAGAGAUAUUGUGAUAUCCCAACCAAAAUCCUGUCCACCAUGGAGCAAUCUUCAACUUCACCUGCAACUAGCAACGCUAUAAGAGGGGCUGAGCAAAGCGGUAACAUAGCCAAGCAACGGUUUGCUAGGAAGGGUGUCAAAUGUUAGGGGUUCAUGGCAAUUUGGGAGGCUUGAAGAGCAAAAGAUAGGUAACGCAGCAUAGCGACAGAAUGAAGUAACUAGCAUAGCAAUGAUAGUAGUGAGAUCCAGGGUAGCGGUCAUCUUGCCUGAGAUCCCGCAAGGAAGAAGAACGAGUCCAUGAAGAAGACGAACGGAUGAAACCGAACCAAGCGUAGACGAACGAAUCCUCACGAUCGCAACAUUACCGGAACUAAUAAGCAACACUGGAAAGAAGCAAACAACAUGGUAAACAACCAUCACAUAAACAUGGCACGAUGCACAACCAAGUAUGAUGCAUGUCCGGUUUAAUAAGGCAUGGCAUGGCAAAGUGCAACAAACAACACUACAAGUUAAGUGGAGAUCAAUAUGCAAUGAGUUGCAUAUUGACGAAACACCACAUCAAUUAUUUAGUUCUCUCUCGGUUAAGCUACCAAACAAUAUUAAAUGUUAUUAAACAUGGCAAGGGGUGAAGCACGAGAAAAACUACCUAUCUAGACAAGUUUAAAUGAGGCCGGAACAAC